UCGCCCAGAAUCUGUUCAAACGGUUUCAACACGGAUGCGUUCGGACGCGCGGUGAUUUUUACUUGCUGCCUUCCGUCGGUCGGCGUCUGCCGAAGCUCUAAAUGGGGCAUCUCUGUUGGGAUCAUUGUUCGGUUUGUAGCCGUUCAAUGUAUUCCACAUUUGGUCUCCUCGCGCUAACCCCGUAGCGUGUGGUUUUUAGCAGGCUCCAGGCCUGCUUUUUUUU
Molecule: non-coding RNA, 223 nt
Filed under: Candidatus Burkholderia verschuerenii
Lineage: Bacteria; Pseudomonadati; Pseudomonadota; Betaproteobacteria; Burkholderiales; Burkholderiaceae
Description: Burkholderia sRNA Bp1_Cand871_SIPHT
Rfam family: Burkholderia sRNA Bp1_Cand871_SIPHT
Source: Rfam by way of RNAcentral